RNAcentral lists this transfer RNA (77 nucleotides) under Kiritimatiellaceae bacterium. RNAcentral describes it as "tRNA-Arg". It matches the Rfam family "tRNA". From Rfam's summary of the family: Transfer RNA (tRNA) molecules are approximately 80 nucleotides in length. Their secondary structure includes four short double-helical elements and three loops (D, anti-codon, and T loops). The record is from RNAcentral. RNAcentral also lists the same sequence under 1 other name. Lineage: Bacteria; Pseudomonadati; Kiritimatiellota; Kiritimatiellia; Kiritimatiellales; Kiritimatiellaceae.
GCACCCAUAGCUCAAUUGGAUAGAGCACCUGACUUCGAAUCAGGAGGUUCUAGGUUCGAAUCCUAGUGGGUGCGCCA